This is a long non-coding RNA of Cephus cinctus (wheat stem sawfly), 295 nucleotides long. RefSeq lists it as uncharacterized. The record is from RefSeq and is a predicted model, not a curated record. NCBI's taxonomy places the organism in Eukaryota, Metazoa, Arthropoda, Insecta, Hymenoptera, Cephidae. The transcript is spliced from 3 exons.
CAUGUUGCCAAGAGAAUUAUUGAGUCCACUGGAUUCUGCCGACGUGAAAUUCUCGUGCCGUGUAUAGGCACGCCUGGAGGAUUAGCUAUAUGCAAUGCGAAGUAGUGGAGAGAAUAAAAAAAAACAUCGACCCACCGAAGUGAACGGCUGAUUUAGGUACCGUCCUACUGUUAAUCAUAGAGACGCCGGCACUGACAUCUUUAGAGGCUGUUGGCUACGUCGGGAGUCGUCGGUUUUACGAAUUGCGUCGGCGAUUACGAGACUCGACCAGGAGAUAUCUAGCGUAAUUUAUCCG